GACGAACGCUGGCGGCGUGCUUAACACAUGCAAGUCGAACGGAAAGGCCCUGCUUUUGUGGGGUGCUCGAGUGGCGAACGGGUGAGUAACACGUGAGUAACCUGCCCUUGACUUUGGGAUAACUUCAGGAAACUGGGGCUAAUACCGGAUAGGAGCCCCUGCUGCAUGGUGGGGGUUGGAACGUUUCGGCGGUCGGGGAUGGACUCGCGGCUUAUCAGCUUGUUGGUGGGGUAGUGGCUUACCAAGGCUUUGACGGGUAGCCGGCCUGAGAGGGUGACCGGCCACAUUGGGACUGAGGGACGGCCCAGUCGCCUACGGGAGGCAGCAGUGGGGAAUAUUGCACAAUGGGCGGGAGCCUGAUGCAGCAACGCCGCGUGCGGAAUGACGGCCUUCGGGUUGUAAACCGCUGUCGCCUGUGACGAAGCGGGAGUGACGGUAAUGGGUAAAGAAGCACCGGCUAACUACGUG
This 468-nucleotide ribosomal RNA is filed under the name uncultured bacterium. RNAcentral's name for it is "partial 16S ribosomal RNA". It matches the Rfam family "Bacterial small subunit ribosomal RNA", at positions 28 to 507 of the family's 1533-position model. The record is from RNAcentral.